RNAcentral lists this non-coding RNA (148 nucleotides) under Chlorocebus sabaeus (green monkey). Lineage: Eukaryota; Metazoa; Chordata; Mammalia; Primates; Cercopithecidae. The record is from Rfam by way of RNAcentral.
GCCAGGUGUGGUAGCUCACACCUGUAAGCCCAGCUACUUGGGAGGCUGAGGCAGGAGGAUCACCUGAGCCCAGGAAUUCGAGGCUGCAGUGAGCCGUGAUAGUACCACUGCAGUCCAGCCUGGGCAACAGUGCAAGACCCUGUCUCUA